RNAcentral lists this transfer RNA (72 nucleotides) under Ovis aries (sheep). It matches the Rfam family "tRNA". From Rfam's summary of the family: Transfer RNA (tRNA) molecules are approximately 80 nucleotides in length. Lineage: Eukaryota; Metazoa; Chordata; Mammalia; Artiodactyla; Bovidae. The record is from Rfam by way of RNAcentral.
UCCCUGGUGGCUCAAAUGGUGAAGCAUCUGCCUGCAAUGCGGGAGACCUGGGUUCAAUUCCUGGGUUGGGAA